Molecule: ribosomal RNA, 492 nt
Filed under: uncultured bacterium
Lineage: Bacteria
Description: partial 16S ribosomal RNA
Rfam family: Bacterial small subunit ribosomal RNA
Source: RNAcentral
AGUGAACGCUGGCGGUAGGCCUAACACAUGCAAGUCGAACGACCACACAGUGAGAGCUCGCUCUUACGGGUGGCGAGUGGCGGACGGGUGAGGAAUACAUAGGCAUCUACUUUUUCGUGGGGGAUUACGUAGGGAAACUUCCGCUAAUACCGAAUACGACCAACGGGUGAAAGCAGGGGUUCAUCGGACUUUUCGCGACUGUAUGAGACGAUGCCGGAUUAGCUAGUUGGCUGGGUAAAGGCACACCAAGGCAACGAUCCGUAGCUGGUCUGAGAGGGUGAUCAGCCACACUGGAACUGAGACACGGUCCAGACUCCUACGGGAGGCAGCAGUGGGGAAUAUUGGACAAUGGGCGCAAGCCUGAUCCAGCCAUACCGCGUGGGUGAAGAAGGCCUUCGGGUUGUAAAGCCCUUUUGUUGGGAAAGAAAAGCAGCAUGUUAAAACACCGCUGCUCUGACGGUACCCAAAGAAUAAGCACCGGCUAACUUCGUG